GGCUCAGAACGAACGCUGGCGGCGUGCUUAACACAUGCAAGUCGAACGGAUUCAUGUAGCAAUACUGAUGUAAAGUGGCGGACGGGUGAGUAACACGUAGGUAACCUACCUUUGAGCGGGGGACAACCCAGGGAAACUUGGGCUAAUACCCCAUAAGACCACGGGGUGUGAAUUUUGUGGUAAAAGCUGCACUGUUAGCGAUACGCUCAUAGACGGGCCUGCGGCCUAUCAGGUAGUUGGUGAGGUAACGGCCCACCAAGCCAAAGACGGGUAGCCGGGCUGAGAGGUUGAACGGCCACACUGGAACUGAGACACGGUCCAGACUCCUACGGGAGGCAGCAGUGGGGAAUAUUGCACAAUGGGGGAAACCCUGAUGCAGCGACGCCGCGUGGAGGAUGAAGGUCUUCGGGUUGUAAACUCCUUUUAUUGGGAAAGAUGAAGUGGGUAACCACUUUGACGGUACCCAAUGAAUAAGCCACGGCUAACUCUGUGCCAGCAGCCGCGGUAAGACAGAGGUGGCGAGCGUUGUUCGGAAUUACUGGGCUUAAAGGGCGAGUAGGCGGUGGGACAAGUCUGAUGUGGAAUCUUAGGGCUUAACCCUAAAACUGCAUUAGAAACUGUUUUACUUGAGUCAGUGAGGGGAGGGCGGAAUUCCCGGUGUAGCGGUGAAAUGCGUAGAUA
This 681-nucleotide ribosomal RNA is filed under the name uncultured nitrite-oxidizing bacterium. Its description in RNAcentral is "bacterial SSU rRNA". It matches the Rfam family "Bacterial small subunit ribosomal RNA", at positions 21 to 696 of the family's 1533-position model. The record is from RNAcentral.